This 255-nucleotide ribosomal RNA is filed under the name uncultured bacterium. RNAcentral describes it as "partial 16S ribosomal RNA". It matches the Rfam family "Bacterial small subunit ribosomal RNA", at positions 524 to 776 of the family's 1533-position model. The record is from RNAcentral.
GACGAACCGUGCGAACGUUUAUUCGGAAUCAUUGGGCUUAAAGGGCGCGUAGGCGGCGGCGUAAGUUGGAAGUGAAAUCCCAUCGGCUCAACCGUGGAAUUGCUCCCAGUACUGCGUCGCUCGAGGGGGAUAGGGGUCUGCGGAACUACCGGUGGAGCGGUGAAAUGUGUUGAUAUCGGUGGGAACGCCAGUGGCGAAAGCGGCAGACUGGACCCUUCCUGACGCUGAUGCGCGAAAGCUAGGGGAGCAAACGGG